AUCCAACUGAUGAGUCUUGAAUAGGAUGAAACGCAUGUCCUGGAU
This 45-nucleotide non-coding RNA is filed under the name Schistosoma margrebowiei. Lineage: Eukaryota; Metazoa; Platyhelminthes; Trematoda; Strigeidida; Schistosomatidae. The record is from RNAcentral.